CGCAUCUGUGCAUGCAGCAUAUCAAUAAGCGGAGGAAAAGAAACUAACAAGGAUUCCCUUAGUAACAGGCGAGUGAAGCGGGAAGAGCUCAAAUUUGAAAUCUUCAAGGUUUUACCUUGACGAAUUGUAGUUUAAAGAAGUGUUUUCUGUUGAAGUUUUGGUAAAAGUUCUUUGGAAUAGGACAUCAUAGAGGGUAAGAAUCCCGUAUUUGACCAUUAUUUUCAGCUGUGUGAUACACUUUCAAAGAGUCGGAUUGUUUGGGAAUGCAGUCCAAAAUGGGUGGUAAAUUUCAUCUAAAGCUAAAUAUUGGCGAGAGACCGAUAGCGAACAAGUACCGUGAGGGAAAGAUGAAAAGAACUUUGAAAAGAGAGUUAAACAGUACGUGAAAUUGUCAAAAGGGAAGCGUUUGACACCAGUGUUGUUCUUCUCGAAAAUCAAUUAAAAAGAGUUUAGAUUUUGUUGUGUAUUGACCUUAACAGCUUGCAUUUCAAUUUUCUUGCUUUUUUUAAUGCACUUUUCGUUUAACAAGUCAACAUCAGUUUCUUUUGUUGUAAAAAGGUCAUUGGAAGGUGGCUUUCUUUUCGGAGAAAGUGUUUAUAGCCUUUGACUCCUGCAAUCGGAGAGACUGAGGUCUGCAGCGUAGAUCCUUCGGGGUUAGAUACAUUUGUGCUAAGUUAUAGCUUUUUAUAGACAACUUGUUGACUAUGAUUAGUCUUGUAGCUUACUCGCUUAUGCUAUUUUACCUACGCUUAGGAUGUUGAUGUGAUACUGCGAGCA
This 777-nucleotide ribosomal RNA is filed under the name uncultured Neocallimastigales. RNAcentral describes it as "partial large subunit ribosomal RNA". It matches the Rfam family "Eukaryotic large subunit ribosomal RNA", at positions 26 to 643 of the family's 3401-position model. The record is from RNAcentral. Lineage: Eukaryota; Fungi; Neocallimastigomycota; Neocallimastigomycetes; Neocallimastigales.